GUGUAGUUUGGCAAUAAAUGUAUAAGUUCAACAUGUGAUGAAGAAUGUAGCUAAAUGCAAUAAUAUUUGUGAAAUGCAGAAUCCCGUGAAUCAAUUCAUGUUUGAAUGUGUCUUGCAUCUUU
RNAcentral lists this ribosomal RNA (122 nucleotides) under Coolia monotis. RNAcentral describes it as "5.8S ribosomal RNA". It matches the Rfam family "5.8S ribosomal RNA", at positions 1 to 120 of the family's 154-position model. From Rfam's summary of the family: 5.8S ribosomal RNA (5.8S rRNA) is a component of the large subunit of the eukaryotic ribosome. It is transcribed by RNA polymerase I as part of the 45S precursor that also contains 18S and 28S rRNA. The record is from RNAcentral. Lineage: Eukaryota; Dinophyceae; Peridiniales; Ostreopsidaceae.